This 159-nucleotide unclassified non-coding RNA is filed under the name uncultured fungus. Its description in RNAcentral is "partial contains 18S rRNA, ITS1 and 5.8S rRNA". The record is from RNAcentral. Lineage: Eukaryota; Fungi.
AGGUGAACCUGCGGAGGGAUCAUUACCAAUAUAGCGAACCGAGCGUUAGCGAGGCUUCGCGAUCAAUUUGUAUUUAAAACCCAACUCUUUAAAUGUAUAUUAUUAUUGUAUUUUAAAUAAUAAAAAGAUCACUUUCAACAACGGAUCUCUUGGCUCUCG